Molecule: long non-coding RNA, 970 nt
Filed under: Brassica rapa (field mustard)
Lineage: Eukaryota; Viridiplantae; Streptophyta; Magnoliopsida; Brassicales; Brassicaceae
Description: long non-coding RNA (BRAP_LNC007748)
Source: RNAcentral
CUGACUCGGCGGAGUACACUCCUGAUUGCAAGGGUUGCCAAACAAAAAUAUCUUCUGCUCCUUUGGUUCUUGGUCUUAUGGCUUGAAUCUGUGACGCCAACGACGGUAAGAUUUCCUCUAGCUUUCGUCGAUUCCAUUUGAGGUCUGAUGUGAGGAGGUCUGAAACCUGCAGGUCUAACACUUCCUCAGUGCAGGGGCCGAUUGGUUUCACAUUCUUAUCCAAAGAGAUCCAGGAGUCUUGCCAUACCUUUGUAGACAUACCAUUUCCAAUUGCCUUCCCCAGGUGUGGCUUUAGGAGUUCUAGGCCGUGGAGAAUGCUACGCCACCCAUGAGAGCAUACUGUAGGUACCGAUAUUUCUAGGAUGCUUUUGUUGUGACAGUAUUUCCCAAUUAAGAUCCUAGCAAGUAGGCAGUUAGGAACUGUGAGGAUUCUCCAUGCUAGUUUUGCCAAUAGGGCUUGGUUGAACAGUUGGAUGUCUCUUAGGCCUAGUCCUCCUUGAGCCUUUGGUUUUGUUAGAGUAUCCCAAGAAACCCAGCACAUUUUCCUUUUCCCAUCAGGUCCGUCCCACCAGAAUCUCGUUAGUGCAGACUGGAUUCUUUUGCAUAGUGAGACUGGUAAUAAGAAGCAUGACAUAGAGUGGUUGGGGAUAGACGUGAGAACUGACUUUAACAUUGUGAGUUUGCCGGCUUUUGACAGGAACCUCGUAGUCCAGCUCAAUGCUUUCUGUCUGAUUCUAUCUACCACGGAUGUGAAGAGAUCUUUCUUUUUUCUCCCGAAAUGCUCCGGUAAGCCUAGGUAUUUACCUAGCCCACCCUCUUUGUUGAUGUUCAGAAUUUCCUUCGCCCUUCCUUUCAUCUCUGCGGGUGUUUUUGAUGAGAAUGUGAUGGCUGAUUUAUUGCGGUUUAUUUUCUGUCCAGAUGCUUCCUCAUACUCUGAGAGUAUCUUCACUAGAUUGGUGCAGCAUUCGGC